UCUGCAGCCAUACCAACCUGAACUUGCCCGAUCUUGUCUGAUCUCGGAAGCUAAGCAGGGUCGGGCCGGGUUAGUGCUUGGAUGGGGGAAAGUGAGAGGUGAAAGAG
Molecule: ribosomal RNA, 107 nt
Filed under: Saimiri boliviensis boliviensis (Bolivian squirrel monkey)
Lineage: Eukaryota; Metazoa; Chordata; Mammalia; Primates; Cebidae
Source: RNAcentral